UAUGAAACUUUGAUGAGAUAAGUAGCCGGGAAAGAAAGCACAGAGAGUCUGCGGAUGGUGAGAGCAGAUGUUUCGGAAUCAGCGAAAAUGGUCUUUGAGUUAUCGCAUGUGAGGGAAACUUAGCAGGUGACGGGUACGCCCGAUAGCGCGUGGAGGGAUGACCGUCCCUUGCUGAGAUAAUCUUUUGAUUAUGAACAAAGGUGGUAACGCGAGCACUCGCCCUUUCA
RNAcentral lists this non-coding RNA (227 nucleotides) under Trichococcus sp. Its description in RNAcentral is "T-box sequence". It matches the Rfam family "T-box leader". Rfam says of the family: Uncharged tRNA acts as the effector for transcription antitermination of genes in the T-box leader family. The record is from RNAcentral. Lineage: Bacteria; Bacillati; Bacillota; Bacilli; Lactobacillales; Carnobacteriaceae.